This 72-nucleotide transfer RNA is filed under the name Phrynosoma platyrhinos (Desert horned lizard). RNAcentral describes it as "tRNA-OTHER". The record is from RNAcentral. Lineage: Eukaryota; Metazoa; Chordata; Lepidosauria; Squamata; Phrynosomatidae.
GGCAGCAUGGUAUAGUGGUUUGAACAUUGGACUAGGACUCUGGAGACCAGGGUUUAAAUCCCCACGGAGCCA